AUUAAAGGUCUGAAAAAAAUCGGACAGUACAGUAUAUUUUAAAAGAUCAGGAGGUCAAGAUCUACCAAGGAGUUCUCAACUAUGGAACAGAUUCCCAAGCCCCAACUGAGACGUCCUGAAUCUGAACAUCCAAGAUGUGAAUUUGAGAAGUCUCUGUUAAAAAAAAGGAUUGCCGACUUCCUGCCAAGGAUGGACUUAAUUUCCAGGGCCUUAUAGUUUACGGACUUGGAUGAAAUUACAGAAGUGCACUUUCCCCACAGACACAUGAAUAAAGUCCACAGAGACUCUUCAGAAAAUGAAAACACAUGAAAAGCAAAUUUCAUUCAGCAACUUUACAAUUAAUAAAACUUCCUUU
Molecule: long non-coding RNA, 355 nt
Filed under: Equus asinus (donkey)
Lineage: Eukaryota; Metazoa; Chordata; Mammalia; Perissodactyla; Equidae
Description: lncRNA (ENSEASG00005036042.1)
Source: RNAcentral